Molecule: non-coding RNA, 208 nt
Organism: Oryza brachyantha (malo sina)
Lineage: Eukaryota; Viridiplantae; Streptophyta; Magnoliopsida; Poales; Poaceae
Source: Rfam
AAUAAGAUCAUUUUUCAGUUUUUUGAUACAAUGUUUCGACUCUUCGUCUUAUUUGAAAUUUUUUUGCGAUUAAUAUUUUUAUUCUUACUAGAUGAUAACACAUGAAUAGUACUUUAUGCAUGACUAUUUUUUUUAAGUUUUUGUACAAAUUUUUCAAAUAAGACGUAUGGUCAAACGUUGGACACGGAAAAACAAAAAUGAGGUUAUU